GAGUUUGAUCAUGGCUCAGGAUGAACGCUAGCGACAGGCUUAACACAUGCAAGUCGAGGGGCAGCGGUGGUGAAGGCUUGCCUUCACCAGCCGGCGACCGGCGCACGGGUGAGUAACACGUAUGCAACCUGCCUGCCACAGCCGGAUAAUCGGGAGAAAUUCCGUCUAAUACGGCAUAAUGCAUCGACGGGACAUCCUGUUGGUGCCAAAGGUUAAUUCCGGUGGCGGAUGGGCAUGCGUCGCAUUAGUUAGUUGGCGGUGUAACGGACCACCAAGACGACGAUGCGUAGGGGUUCUGAGAGGAAGGUCCCCCACACUGGUACUGAGACACGGACCAGACUCCUACGGGAGGCAGCAGUGAGGAAUAUUGGUCAAUGGGCGGGAGCCUGAACCAGCCAAGUCGCGUGAGGGAUGACGGCCCUAUGGGUUGUAAACCUCUUUUGCCGGGGAGCAAAGUGCCGCACGUGUGCGGUUUGGAGAGUACCCGGAGAAAAAGCAUCGGCUAACUCCGUGCCAGCAGCCGCGGUAAUACGGAGGAUGCGAGCGUUAUCCGGAUUUAUUGGGUUUAAAGGGUGCGUAGGCGGACGCUUAAGCCAGCGGUAAAAUUGCGGGGCUCAACCUCGUCGAGCCGUUGAAACUGGGUGCCUUGAGUGGGCGAGAAGUACGCGGAAUGCGUGGUGUAGCGGUGAAAUGCAUAGAUAUCACGCAGAACUCCGAUUGCGAAGGCAGCGUACCGGCGCCCAACUGACGCUGAAGCACGAAGGCGUGGGUAUCGAACAGGAUUAGAUACCCUGGUAGUCCACGCAGUAAACGAUGAAUGCUAGUUGUCCGGGGCGAUUGAGUUCUGGGUGACACAGCGAAAGCGUUAAGCAUUCCACCUGGGGAGUACGCCGGCAACGGUGAAACUCAAAGGAAUUGACGG
Molecule: ribosomal RNA, 922 nt
Filed under: uncultured bacterium
Lineage: Bacteria
Description: bacterial SSU rRNA
Rfam family: Bacterial small subunit ribosomal RNA
Source: RNAcentral